AUUGGCAGAUCGGCCCAUAUUCAGGCCAGUGGGCACUUGGAGGAACAGACACCUCGGACGCUGCUGAAGAACAUCCUACUAACUGCCCCAGAAUCUUCCAUCCUGAUGCCUGAGUCGGUAGUGAAGCCAGUGCCAGCACGGCAGGUGGUCCAACCCUCCAGACAAGAGAGCAGUUGCGGCAGCCUGGAGCUGCAACUUCCUGAGCUCGAGCCCCCCACAACCCUGGCUCCAGGUCUGCUGGCCCCUGGCAGGAGGAAACAGAGGCUGAGACUGUCAAUGUUUCAGCAGGGAGUGGACCAGGGGUUGUCUCUCUCCCAAGAGCCUCAAGGGAAUGCUGAUGCCUCUUCCCUCACCAGAUCCCUCAACCUGACCUUUGCCACACCUCUUCAGCCACAGUCAGUGCAGAGGCCUGGCUUGGCCCGCAGACCUCCAGCCCGCCGAGCUGUAGACGUGGGUGCCUUUUUGCGGGAUCUGCGAGAUACUUCCCUGGCUCCUCCAAGCCACUCAGGGCGGACCCAUGCAGCCCACUGUCCAGGCCCUGGCAACGCUGAGUAGCAGCCGGUGGGCCUGGAAUACGCUGAGAGCCAGCUGGCCCCUGAUCUCCAGAUGACAGCCUCAGAACCUGUUACUACUCUGCCCACAGACAUUGUGUUGGAGGACACCCAGCCGUUCUCUCAGCCCAUGGUUGGCUCCCCCCAUGUGUAUCACUCCCUGCCCUGCACGCCUCACACUGGGGCUGAAGACGCUGAGCAGGCUGCCGGUCGCAAGACACAGAGCAGUGGGCCUGGGCUGCAGAA
RNAcentral lists this small RNA (797 nucleotides) under Pan troglodytes (chimpanzee). Its description in RNAcentral is "processed transcript". The record is from RNAcentral. Lineage: Eukaryota; Metazoa; Chordata; Mammalia; Primates; Hominidae.